AUAUUGUUGAGAAUACCAAAAGUCACACUUAUACAUAUACACAUGGUGUGUGUGUGGGAAGGGGAUGAACAAUGAAGAUCUCAGAGAGAGGCAAAGCCCUCUCCUCUCUUUGUUCUCUCCCUCUCUUUCAAAGAACGUUUUUGUUUCCUUUUGUAUGCACAUGCGUACCCUUGCCACUUACUUGAAGACAACGAGAGCGUGCGGUUAUGGGCCCAGUCACAAUUUGCAGCUAAGUGCUAUAGAAAAAUGCUUUAAUUGUUACCGAAUAAUAAAAGUGAAAUAAAAAAAAAAAUGAAA
Molecule: long non-coding RNA, 297 nt
Organism: Drosophila gunungcola (fruit fly)
Lineage: Eukaryota; Metazoa; Arthropoda; Insecta; Diptera; Drosophilidae
Exons: 2
Source: RefSeq, a predicted model, not a curated record